CCAAGAGGACGACCUCCCAAUCACCCAAAUGACGCAGGGACGACCCUG
Molecule: non-coding RNA, 48 nt
Organism: Rhodopseudomonas palustris BisB18
Lineage: Bacteria; Pseudomonadati; Pseudomonadota; Alphaproteobacteria; Hyphomicrobiales; Nitrobacteraceae
Source: Rfam